RNAcentral lists this ribosomal RNA (499 nucleotides) under uncultured bacterium. Its description in RNAcentral is "bacterial SSU rRNA". It matches the Rfam family "Bacterial small subunit ribosomal RNA", at positions 28 to 511 of the family's 1533-position model. The record is from RNAcentral.
GAUGAACGCUAGCGGCAGGCUUAACACAUGCAAGUCGAGGGGCAGCAUGAGACGGAGAUUCGUCGAAGUCUUGAUGGCGACCGGCGCAAGGGUGCGUAACGCGUGAGCAACUUGCCCGUUUCAGGGGGAUAACCGGUGGAAACGCCGACUAAUACCCCAUAGUAUUGAGUUCAGGCAUCUUUACUCAAUUAAAGAAUUUCGGAAACGGAUAGGCUCGCGUGACAUUAGCUAGAUGGCGGGGUAACGGCCCACCAUGGCUACGAUGUCUAGGGGUUCUGAGAGGAACGGUCCCCCACACUGGAACUGAGACACGGUCCAGACUCCUACGGGAGGCAGCAGUGAGGAAUAUUGGUCAAUGGUCUGACGACUGAACCAGCCAUGCCGCGUGAAGGUGACGGCCCUAUGGGUCUUAAAACUUCUUUUGAAGGGAGCAAUAAGUCUCACGUGUGGGAUGAUGAGAGUACCCUUACGAAUAAGCAUCGGCUAAACUCCGUGCCAG